Molecule: ribosomal RNA, 503 nt
Filed under: uncultured bacterium
Lineage: Bacteria
Description: partial 16S ribosomal RNA
Rfam family: Bacterial small subunit ribosomal RNA
Source: RNAcentral
AUUGAACGCUGGCGGCAGGCUUAACACAUGCAAGUCGAGCGGGGUGAUGGUGCUUGCACUAUCACUUAGCGGCGGACGGGUGAGUAAUGCUUAGGAAUCUGCCUAUUAGUGGGGGACAACAUCUCGAAAGGGAUGCUAAUACCGCAUACGUCCUACGGGAGAAAGCAGGGGAUCACUUGUGACCUUGCGCUAAUAGAUGAGCCUAAGUCGGAUUAGCUAGUUGGUGGGGUAAAGGCCUACCAAGGCGACGAUCUGUAGCGGGUCUGAGAGGAUGAUCCGCCACACUGGGACUGAGACACGGCCCAGACUCCUACGGGAGGCAGCAGAGGGGAAUAUUGGACAAUGGGGGGAACCCUGAUCCAGCCAUGCCGCGUGUAUGAAGAAGGCCUUAUGGUUGUAAAGCACUUUAAGCGAGGAGGAGGCUCUUUUGGUUAAUACCCAAGAUGAGUGGACGUUACUCGCAGAAUAAGCACCGGCUAACUCUGUGCCAGCCGCCGCAAUAA